This is a long non-coding RNA of Sceloporus undulatus (fence lizard), 496 nucleotides long. RefSeq lists it as uncharacterized. NCBI's taxonomy places the organism in Eukaryota, Metazoa, Chordata, Lepidosauria, Squamata, Phrynosomatidae. The transcript has 3 exons. The record is from RefSeq and is a predicted model, not a curated record.
GGAUUUCCACAUCAUAAGAAUUUCGCCUUGAUGGGGCAGUUGUGUUUCUAAAGGAAAUGUGGUACCACACAUUUCUUGCCUGUGCAACUGACCCAGUUCUUCUUCUUUGUUCAGCUGGCCAGUAGCUUUGGGGUGAAGUUUAUGGAGACCAGUGCAAAAGCCAACAUCAAUAUAGAAAAUGCAUUUUUUACGCUUGCCAGAGAUAUCAAAACAAAAAUGGAUAAAAAGCUGGAAGGCAAUAGUCCUCAAGGAAGCAGCAGCACCAGCAGCACCAGCAGCCAAGGGGUGAAAAUCAGCCCAGACCUGCAGAAAAAAGUCAGCUUCUUCCGAUGUGUCCUCCUCUGAGGGCCCAGCCUUAACAUGAGCCUGGCUCAACACCUUUCCUGGACUUGGUCUGUUUGCAAGGGUGGCCUUCUUGUUCUGUCUUGUUCUUUCUCUGGCCCCUUGCAACAAACCAACCAUGCUAUGCCCAUAGUAAUGGAACGGAGAAAGCAGC